UGUGUUUGGUUGAAUUGCGGAAACCACGAAUGAAAAGGUUUACUAAUAGUUGUUGUGUGUGUGAAUCAGGAGGCAAUAUAAAAAUAAGUUUUCGUAAACCUGCAUUCCUUCCGAUGUAAGGGUUGACUCAAGGUAAAUUUGUAGUGUCUGUAGCUACAAGAAAGGCAAUAUUUACGUGUGUGCAGCUUUGUAGUUGACUAAUGAUUACUCUGCUGUAUAUUUUUCAAGCCUAACAAAUGGAGGACAAUUCAAGUAAUUCGUAUGUUACUGGAAAGAAGUUGUUUGUUUUGUGGGUGAUAUUUCUUCUUUACCUCCUUUUUGGUGGCUUAAUUUUCAGUGUGCUAGAGAAAGGCAAUGAGGAUAUUCAGAGAAAAAGAGCUAGAAUAACGAAGAAAGAGUUCAUUUAUAAUUACACCUGCUUGGAUGCUUCAUCUUUGGAAGAUCUCAUUUCUACCCUCCUUGAAAUCCAGGCUCAGGGUGUGGAUCCCAGGGAAAAUGUAACUGGCCCAUCCAAAUGGGAUUUUACAAGCUCUUUGUUUUUUAGUGGCACUGUGGUCACAACUAUUGGUUAUGGCAACAUUGCACCAAGUUCAAGAGCGGGACAGCAAUUCUGCAUCUGCUAUGCCCUGAUUGGCAUUCCUUUAUGUGGGUUUGUCCUGGCGGAAUUGAGUAACCGAGUAAAGAAUCGCUCUUUGAAGUUCAAGGAAAGAGUCAUGAAAAUAUGGAAAAAGAAUAAAGAGAAUAGAGCAGAGGUUUUCUACAUGGCAAUGAUUUGCACAAGCGGAUUUUUUCUUUUCUUUACAAUCCCUGCAGUCAUCUUUGCUCUUGUAGAAGAUUGGAGCUAUCAUUUAGCAUUCUAUUACUGUUUUAUUACUCUCAGUACCAUAGGCUUUGGCGAUUAUGUUGCAGGAACCAAUCCAAAAAAGCACUACAGUAUUUUUUACCGCAUCGCAAUAUAUAUUUGGAUUAUCCUUGGCUUGGCUUACUUCAUCCUUCUUCUUCAACAUGUCUCAGAUGUGUUGGAACAUGCAGGGAAAAAGAUAAAGAAGAGAACAAGGACAAUCCGUGAGAUAAAAAAAGGGAAUGGAAAAGAGGUGAAUGAAGAAAAGAAAGAAGUAUGUGGAGAAUGUUGGAAAACUAAUAGAGAAUCAUUGACAAGCAAAAAGGAUAUAAAAGAAAAUGAUGAACAGAAGAUUAUAAUCGAGCAAGUGAAUGAAAAUACGAUUGAGACGGAGGCUGAUGUUAACAUUGAGCUUGUUCAACAACAACCUGCGAGAAACGAGAACCAGCCUAUCAACGUACAGCAGCCAAAUGAUGCAGAAAUGGAGAUGAUUAUCUAGAUCUUAACUCUACAUUGUUUUAAUCUAUUUUUUAAAUAUUUAUGUAAAUUAGAUAACCUUUUUAUAGAUAGAACACGUGGAAUCUAUAUUACUUUUUGGAAAUACAGGAUGCUGUUUUUUAACUAUUUAUUUAUGUAUUAAAAUAUAAGUUCCUUGAGCAAGUUUCUUGAUACAAAAUUCACAAGAAAGUAGACAUUGUCUGGAGUUUCAAAAUGCUCAAACCUGCACAGUUUAUAUUUCCAUUUAAUCCAUUAAAUUAUUUAUUUGGCAACAACAGUACAGAUAAAUUCUGCAGCGAAUCGAUGUAAUUGAUAUGGCUGAAGAUGCCAACUGCUGUUCUAUUGUAGUGCGUGACAAAUAUGAUUUUUCCUGUCAUGUAUCUUUUUGUAUGUAUUCAUGCAGGCAUGUACUUUGCAACUUUUAUAUGCGCCAAUUUCCAUUUCUUUUAUGUUAUUUGACAUUGUAUCAUACUUCUUCACAAAACAUUGAAGAGGAACAAAAGAAAGAAAGUGUUUAGGCCUACAUGGAAACAGGGCAUGAAACAUUGGUAACUAGCAAAAUGCUGUUUUUCAGGGGCAGUUAGCCAGGUUUUUAAAAAUUUUAAAUUCCAAAUUUGACGAAAUGGUAUGUACAUCAUAAAUAAUUUUCUUAGCCAUUGUUUAUGACAAUGUAAUUAGUUUUCUUAAGGUUUCUUCAUUGAGGUGAUUUUAUUCUGAUUAAAUAUAUUACGAGUAUUGUGCUCUAAAUUGACCUUUUUGGUCUGACAAAAAAAAAAGUUCACUGAUACCAAAGUGCUGCUGUAAUGUAGGCCAACCUUAUUUUUGAUGCAGUAUGUAAAUUGUUCUCGUAAUUUCUUUGUAACUCUUUUAUUUGUGCUUCUUAUUUCUUUAUUCACAUUUGGAAUUUUGAGAAUAGCCAUAAUGUAAAUGCUGGGGCUAUGUGCUUACUAUCACUGAAAUUUAUUUAUGUUGUAGUGCAAUUGUUAAUAACCGAAGGGCAACACCUUCAGAAUUAUUUGGAUUGAAUCUCUCUUGGGAAAUAUCAUAGUGACUAAUCAUACUUGUUCAUAAUAAGUGUGGUUUCAAGCAGAAUGAAAGACAAACUGCAUUUGUUAUACAUCUUCAAGUACAUGCACACUUCAUGUGCACGCCAGCUUUACAAUUCACGCAAAUAUUCACACACCGUCUCUAUGGACAUGACACAUACAGUUUGUUUAAUAUGCAGACUGCUCGUACUGUAUGGUUUAUAUUGUUGUGUUACAAUACAGUGGUAAAUAUUUAUAUAAGUCAUGAAGUCUGAAUAUUAAAAUACAGAUCUCCCUCCAAUUAGAGACCAGUACUUUCCAUGGCAGUUUUGGUUUCUCAUUAGAAUAAUAAAGAUAAGAAAUUUGGGACCACAGAAAGGUGGUCCUUAAUUAGAAGUGGUCGUUAAUUGGAGUGGUCUUUAAUUAGAGGGAGACCUGUAAUAAAUUGCUCAUUUAAUAGGAUCAGAUAUGUUAUCCAAUGAGACAGAUUAACCUAUUUAGUUAUCAUUGAUUAUAUGGACAUUUUUGCUGUGUAACAGAACAUAAAACAUCAGAUAUGUUAUCCAAUGAGACAGAUUAACCUAUUUAGUUAUCAUUGAUUAUAUGGACAUUUUUGCUGUGUAACAGAACAUAAAACAUCAGAUAUGUUAUCCAGUGAGACAGAUUAACCUAUUUAGUUAUCAUUGAUUAUAUGGACAUUUUUGCUGUGUAACAGAACAUAAAACAUCAGAUAUGUUAUCCAGUGAGACAGAUUAACCUAUCCCGUUAUCAUUGAUUAUACUGUAUAGACAUUUUGCUGCAAACAUAGCAAAUCAGAUAUGUUAUCCAAUGAGACAGACUAACCUAUUUAGUUAUCAUUGAUUAUAUGGACAUUUUUGCUGUGUAACAGAACAUAAAACAUCAGAUAUGUUAUCCAGUGAGACAGAUUAACCUAUCCCGUUAUCAUUGAUUAUACUGUAUAGACAUUUUGCUGCAAACAUAGCAAAUCAGAUAUGUUAUCCAAUGAGACAGACUAACCUAUUCAGUUUUCAUUGACAUAUAUAGACAUUUUGCUGUGCAACAGAACAUAGAACAUCUGAAUUAGCAAAUAAAUUAUUUAUACUUGCUAUAUUUCAAUUGAUAGCUAAUAACUUAAAUAUGCAAAUAAGCAAAUAAACCAAAUCUCAUCUUUUAUUAUUUUUUUCACAGUUUUCAUUGCUAAUUUUUAUCAAAAAUAACUAUGAAUUCGACUUGACCUUGAUUUACGGUUCCAAAUCCUAAGAUGCCCCAUACUUGUAAAAUAGAGUUUUCACUGUAGAUUUUUUUUUUCUUAUUCACUUUAUGCAUCAAAUAAUUUUUACAUACAACAACAUACACAGAAAAAAUGACAACAGACAAAAUACAAGAAAAGGAGAUGCAAAAGGGUGAGAACGACAGUCUCCAGAAUUAUUAUUUUACAUGAGUGAUGUUUGCCCUACCUAACAUGUUAUCGUACUGAAUACUCAGUAUGUUCCCAAAUACUUGCAGAAUAAAUUCAAAACACACAUCAAAAUAUUAUUAUUUUGUUUACACUAUGCAAUAGAAACAUUAUAAAUAUGCAUCUCGCAUGGACCUAAUCUGAAUUUUCUGAAUUUAUAUUCAGCAAAGGACCACUUAUUUACACUUACAUUAAAAUUUAAUCUAACUCAAUUGCCAAUAAAUAUAUUGGCAAUUGGAUGUCCUUAUUAAAAACUGUAUAUGUACCUUUGAUGAUUUCAAUUGCCAAUGCUAGUCAUGGUACAUUUGUUUAUGUUGAAUUGUGGCAUAUAUUGCACAGGCUAUUUCUUCCCCAAUUGCUCUUUUCAUCUGUAUUGAAGAAUUACAAAAUUAUGCAAAUUCUAUUUAUAUCAGACAUUCUGGCGCAGAUCCAGUGUAUUAAUAAUAGUAUUAAUGACAGAUAAGCAUAAAUGUGUGUAAUAAAAUCAAAAACUUUGAAGGUAUGGGUUCAUUAUAAUUAUCUUGUGCAUGCUAUGAUUAUGUGACAUGUAAAAGUCAGGAAAACUUUUGAAACAUCAAAACUAAUUUUUUAAUGGAAAGUAGAAAAGACAGAAGUUAUAGAUGUCAAGAUGUUUUAAUGAAGUGAAUCAUUUACCAUAUAUUUAUUACAUAUUUAAUUAACCUGAUGUUUAUUUUGUAGACAGAUUUCUAUUUUAGUUAAUUUUUGAUUUGUUCAUUGUUAUCUUUAUAGCUUUUAAAUGCUAACAAAAUUUCGAACUCAUCUGUUUGUUUUUUUAAAUGUUGAACACACUGAUUCAUAUAUCUGGAUCUCACAGGGUUUAAUUUCUCUUGUUCUGGUCAACCUCCUAUUAAUCUACAAUCAAUUUUUUGAUUUGUACUUAAAUGUGGCCUAACAACAUUUAAAAACUUGGCUAAAGAUAGUUGAUUUACAUGACAUUAUGUAAGUUGCAUAACAUUUAACAAUUUUGGAAAAGCUUGGUGAUGUAAACUGUUUCAAUUGGCGUAAUAUUUUUUAAAAUGUGAUGUUUCAAAUGUUUUGUUGUGGUUUUAACAUGUUGCUUUGGUACUUGCAGGCCACCAUAUUAAAUGUUAAUAAAUUGUGCAACUUUUGGCUGCAAUAAUUUGCUGUAUUAAGUUAUACCAUGUGUAUAAUAAUGUAGUAAAAUAGUAUGCAUUAGGCUUCCAUUUUGGCCAGUAGUUUUGUGGAGUAAUACCUAUCGAAUAACUCUGAAAUAUUAUGUAAACAUAAUGGAGCAAAUAUAAUGAUAAAGCAUACAUACAUGAUUCAUUUUAUACAGUCUGGGCUGUAAGUUUUUAAGAAUAUGGCACCUACUACAUUAUUAUUAAAUUUUUACUUUAGAUAA
RNAcentral lists this unclassified non-coding RNA (5204 nucleotides) under Anneissia japonica. Its description in RNAcentral is "potassium channel subfamily K member 16-like, transcript variant X2". The record is from RNAcentral. Lineage: Eukaryota; Metazoa; Echinodermata; Crinoidea; Comatulida; Comatulidae.